GUAGGGAAUCUUCGGCAAUGGACGAAAGUCUGACCGAGCAACGCCGCGUGAGUGAAGAAGGUUUUCGGAUCGUAAAACUCUGUUGGUAGAGAAGAACGUUGGUGAGAGUGGAAAGCUCAUCAAGUGACGGUAACUACCCAGAAAGGGACGGCUAACUACGUGCCAGCAGCCGCGGUAAUACGUAGGUCCCGAGCGUUGUCCGGAUUUAUUGGGCGUAAAGCGAGCGCAGGUGGUUUAUUAAGUCUGGUGUAAAAGGCAGUGGCUCAACCAUUGUAUGCAUUGGAAACUGGUAGACUUGAGUG
RNAcentral lists this ribosomal RNA (302 nucleotides) under uncultured bacterium. Its description in RNAcentral is "partial 16S ribosomal RNA". It matches the Rfam family "Bacterial small subunit ribosomal RNA", at positions 354 to 648 of the family's 1533-position model. The record is from RNAcentral.